GGGGCUGUCCAGGCUGUGAGGGAGAAGCCCGCGUGGCAAGGCUCCUCGUGCCCCUCUGACCCCCGAGACCACGCCCCAGGCGCACCAGGCACUUCCG
MicroRNA precursor from Ochotona princeps (American pika), 97 nucleotides. NCBI's taxonomy places the organism in Eukaryota, Metazoa, Chordata, Mammalia, Lagomorpha, Ochotonidae. The record is from Ensembl.